This 425-nucleotide ribosomal RNA is filed under the name uncultured bacterium. Its description in RNAcentral is "partial 16S ribosomal RNA". It matches the Rfam family "Bacterial small subunit ribosomal RNA", at positions 354 to 796 of the family's 1533-position model. The record is from RNAcentral.
GUGGGGAAUAUUGGACAAUGGGCGAAAGCCUGAUCCAGCAAUGCCGCGUGAGUGAUGAAGGCCCUAGGGUUGUAAAGCUCUUUUACCCGGGAUGAUAAUGACAGUACCGGGAGAAUAAGCUCCGGCUAACUCCGUGCCAGCAGCCGCAGUAAUACGGAGGGAGCUAGCGUUGUUCGGAAUUACUGGGCGUAAAGCGCGCGUAGGCGGUUUUCCAAGUCAGGGGUGAAAGCCCGGGGCUCAACCCCGGAAUAGCCCUUGAAACUGGAAGACUAGAAUCUUGGAGAGGUCAGUGGAAUUCCGAGUGUAGAGGUGAAAUUCGUAGAUAUUCGGAAGAACACCAGUGGCGAAGGCGACUGACUGGACAAGUAUUGACGCUGAGGUGCGAAAGCGUGGGGAGCAAACAGGAUUAGAUACCCUAGUAGUCC